UGAGAGGCGCGGGUAACCCGCUGAACCCCGCUCGUGAUCGGGAAUGGGGAUUGAAACAAUUUCCCAUCAACGAGGAAUUCCCUGUAAGCGCGGGUCAUAAGCUCGCGUUGAUUAAGUCCCUGCCCUUUGUACACACCGCCCCCCCGGACAUCUAAGGGCAUCACAGACCUGUUAUUGCUCCAUCUUGCUUGGCUGAAUGCCACUUGUCCCUCUAAGAAGUUGAACGCCGACCGCACGGGGCCACAUAACUAUUUA
This is a long non-coding RNA of Sinocyclocheilus grahami, 255 nucleotides long. RefSeq lists it as uncharacterized. The record is from RefSeq and is a predicted model, not a curated record. The transcript has 2 exons. NCBI's taxonomy places the organism in Eukaryota, Metazoa, Chordata, Actinopteri, Cypriniformes, Cyprinidae.